GAUGAACGCUGGCGGCGUGCUUAACACAUGCAAGUCGAACGAAGCACUUGGUCUUGACCCCUUCGGGGCGAUUGACCUUGUGACUGAGUGGCGGACGGGUGAGUAACGCGUGAGUAACCUGCCUUAUACCGGGGGAUAACAGUUAGAAAUGACUGCUAAUACCGCAUAAGCGCACAGCAUCGCAUGGUGCAGUGUGAAAAACUCUGGUGGUAUAAGAUGGACUCGCGUCUGAUUAGCUAGUUGGUGAGGUAACGGCCCACCAAGGCGACGAUCAGUAGCCGGCCUGAGAGGGUGGACGGCCACAUUGGGACUGAGACACGGCCCAGACUCCUACGGGAGGCAGCAGUGGGGAAUAUUGCACAAUGGGGGAAACCCUGAUGCAGCGACGCCGCGUGAAGGAAGAAGUAUUUCGGUAUGUAAACUUCUAUCAGCAGGGAAGAAAAUGACGGUACCUGACUAAGAAGCCCCGGCUAAUUACGUGCCAGCCGCCGCCGUAACAC
RNAcentral lists this ribosomal RNA (500 nucleotides) under uncultured bacterium. Its description in RNAcentral is "bacterial SSU rRNA". It matches the Rfam family "Bacterial small subunit ribosomal RNA", at positions 28 to 526 of the family's 1533-position model. The record is from RNAcentral.